Molecule: unclassified non-coding RNA, 266 nt
Filed under: Hevea brasiliensis (rubber tree)
Lineage: Eukaryota; Viridiplantae; Streptophyta; Magnoliopsida; Malpighiales; Euphorbiaceae
Source: RNAcentral
AUCAGGUGACACAAGGUCUUGAUCCAUCUCGGAAUUCAGAAGAGAUUGAAGACUAGUAUCGUUUUGAUGAGAUGGCAAUCCUUCGAGGUCUUUCCUUUCGCAGAAUGAAACCGAACUACACAACACGUUAUUCUCGAUCAUAGGCUCCCUCUCAAGCAAUAUUUUGCUGGGAGGACACUCUGAUACCAUUUGCUGGAGAGUUUUCCCGGUUAUAUCGUCCAACGGCAUCAGCUUUUUAGCAAGUGUCGAAAGGUUUUCAGUUCCUG